UAUUCGAGCUGACGAUGAUGAUGACGGUGAUGACGAUGUUGUGCUGCACUGCCCCUGUGUGCAAGCGAUGGCGUCGUCGUCAUCGUCGUCGUCGUCGUCGUCG
Molecule: microRNA precursor, 103 nt
Filed under: Anopheles stephensi (Asian malaria mosquito)
Lineage: Eukaryota; Metazoa; Arthropoda; Insecta; Diptera; Culicidae
Description: microRNA mir-598
Source: RNAcentral